UACGUAGGGUGCAAGCGUUAAUCGGAAUUACUGGGCGUAAAGCGUACGCAGGCGGCUUUGCAAGACAGGUGUGAAAUCCCCGGGCCUAACCUGGGAACUGCAUUUGUGACUGCAUGGCUAGAGUCUGUCAGAGGGGGGUGGAAUUCCACGUGUAGCAGUGAAAUGCGUAGAGAUGUGGAGGAACACCGAUGGCGAAGGCAGCCCCCUGGGAUGAGACUGACGCUCAUGUACGAAAGCGUGGGGAGCAAACAGGAUUAGAUACCCUGGUAGUCCACGCCCUAAACGAUGUCUACUAGUUGUCGGAGGGUAACUCCUUCGGUAACGCAGCUAACGCGUGAAGUAGACCGCCUGGGGAGUACGGUCGCAAGAUUAAA
This 374-nucleotide ribosomal RNA is filed under the name uncultured bacterium. Its description in RNAcentral is "bacterial SSU rRNA". It matches the Rfam family "Bacterial small subunit ribosomal RNA", at positions 524 to 898 of the family's 1533-position model. The record is from RNAcentral.